This 428-nucleotide ribosomal RNA is filed under the name uncultured bacterium. Its description in RNAcentral is "partial 16S ribosomal RNA". It matches the Rfam family "Bacterial small subunit ribosomal RNA", at positions 354 to 796 of the family's 1533-position model. The record is from RNAcentral.
GUAGGGAAUAUUGCGCAAUGGACGAAAGUCUGACGCAGCGACGCCGCGUGAGUGAUGAAGGCCUUAGGGUCGUAAAGCUCUGUUGAAUGGGAAGAAAAAAAUGACGGUACCAUUCGAGGAAGGACCGGCUAACUUCGUGCCAGCAGCCGCGGUAAUACGAGGGGUCCUAGCGUUGUUCGGAAUCAUUGGGCGUAAAGGGUGUGUAGGUGGCCAUGUAAGUCAGGUGUGAAAGCCCCGGGCUCAACCCGGGAAGUGCACUUGAUACUGCGUGGCUUGAGUACCGAAGAGGGUAGUGGAAUUCCAGGUGUAGUGGUGAAAUACGUAGAUAUCUGGAGGAAGACCGGUGGCGAAGGCGGCUACCUGGUCGAGUACUGACACUGAGACACGAAAGCAUGGGGAUCAAACAGGAUUAGAUACCCCGGUAGUCC